AUGAACGCUGGCGGUAUGCUUAACACAUGCAAGUCGAACGAAAGCUUUAUGCUUUAGUGGCGAACGGGUGCGUAAUACGUGAGAAUCUGCCCUUAGGAGGAGAAUAACUUCUGGAAACGGUUGCUAAGUCUCCAUAUGCCGAGAGGUAAAAUAGUUUACACUGCCUAGGGAUGAGCUCACGCCUGAUUAGCUUGUUGGUAAGGUAACGGCUUACCAAGGCUAUGACGGGUAGGUGGUCUGAGAGGAUGGUCACCCACACUGGGACUGAGACACUGCCCAGACUCCUGCGGGAGGCUGCAGUCGAGAAUCUUCCGCAGUGCGCGAAAGCGUGACGGAGCAAUGCCGCGUGAAGGAUGAAGGCUUUCGGGUCGUAAACUUCUGUCAGGGGGGAAAAACAAUGAUGGUACCCCCAGAGGAAGCCACGGCUAACUACGUGCCAGCAGCCGCGGUAAUACGUAGGUGGCGAGCGUUAUUCGGAUUUACUGGGCGUAAAGGGUCCGUAGGGGGAUACUUAAGUCAGAUGUGAAAUUUCAAGGCUCAACCUUGAACCUGCAUUUGAAACUGAGUGUCUAGAAUUCGGUAGAGGUAAGUGGAAUUUGUGGUGUAGCGGUGGAAUGCGUAGAUAUCACAAGGAACACCAAAGGCGAAAGCAGCUUACUGGGCCGAUAUUGACCCUGAGGGACGAAAGCUAAGGUAGCGAAAAGGAUUAGAUACCCUUGUAGUCUUAGCCGUAAACGUUGUACACUCGAUGUCGGGGGAAUUAGCCCCCUCGGUGUCUAAGCUAACGCGAUAAGUGUACCGCCUGGGAAGUACGGUCGCAAGACUAAAACUCAAAGGAAUUGACGGGGGCCCGCACAAGCGGUGGAGCAUGUGGCUUAAUUCGAGGCAACGCGAAGAACCUUACCUGGGUUUGACAUAUAUCUGACCGCUCUCGAAACGGAGUUUCUCUUCGGAGCAGAUAUACAGGUGCUGCAUGGCUGUCGUCAGCUCGUGUCGUGAGAUGUUCGGUUAAGUCCGGCAACGAGCGCAACCCAUAUCAUCAGUUGCCAACAGGUAAUGCUGGGGACUCUGGUGAGACUGCCCGUGUCAAGCGGGAGGAAGGCGUGGACGACGUCAAGUCAGUAUGGCCCUUACACCCAGGGCUGCACACGUGCUACAAUGGCGACUACAGAAGGCAGCAAUACCGCGAGGUGGAGCAAAUCCGACAAAAGUCGCCCCAGUUCGGAUUGGAGUCUGCAACUCGACUCCAUGAAGUCGGAAUCGCUAGUAAAGGCGUAUCAGCUACGACGCCUUGAAUACGUUCCCGGGCCUUGUACACACCGC
This 1323-nucleotide ribosomal RNA is filed under the name uncultured marine bacterium. RNAcentral's name for it is "bacterial SSU rRNA". It matches the Rfam family "Bacterial small subunit ribosomal RNA", at positions 29 to 1393 of the family's 1533-position model. The record is from RNAcentral.